GUGUUCACUUUGUUAGCACAUAUACUAAAACUGGAAUGACACAGAGAAGAUUAGCAUAGCCUGUGUGCAAGGAAAAAAAGUGAGAAAAAUAAAGGUGACUGAAUGUA
Molecule: small nuclear RNA, 107 nt
Organism: Suricata suricatta (meerkat)
Lineage: Eukaryota; Metazoa; Chordata; Mammalia; Carnivora; Herpestidae
Source: Ensembl